AAUGAUGAGCCUGAUCUAAAGGAGUAUCGUGAUAGGAUAAAAUAUGUAGUCCCAAUCCUACCUUCAUUA
RNAcentral lists this transfer RNA (69 nucleotides) under Serritermes serrifer. RNAcentral describes it as "tRNA-Ile". Lineage: Eukaryota; Metazoa; Arthropoda; Insecta; Blattodea; Serritermitidae. The record is from RNAcentral.